CCGCCGGCGACCGGCGCACGGGUGAGUAACACGUAUGCAACCUGGCCGUGACAGAUGGAUAACCGGGAGAAAUCCCGCCUAAUACAACAUAAUGCCGGGAGGGGACAUCCCCUGCCGGGCCAAAGGGGGGCGACCCCGGUCACGGAUGGGCAUGCGGCGCAUUAGGUAGUUGGUGGGGCAACGGCCCACCAAGCCGACGAUGCGUAGGGGUUCUGAGAGGAAGGUCCCCCACAUUGGAACUGAGACACGGUCCAAACUCCUACGGAAGGCAGCAG
Molecule: ribosomal RNA, 275 nt
Filed under: uncultured bacterium
Lineage: Bacteria
Description: partial 16S ribosomal RNA
Rfam family: Bacterial small subunit ribosomal RNA
Source: RNAcentral